Molecule: long non-coding RNA, 542 nt
Organism: Chinchilla lanigera (long-tailed chinchilla)
Lineage: Eukaryota; Metazoa; Chordata; Mammalia; Rodentia; Chinchillidae
Exons: 3
Source: RefSeq, a predicted model, not a curated record
UGCAGUGCCUGUCAUUCAUCAAGCAGUUUGUUUUCUGCUUAUGGAAUCACAAAAAUAUUUAAUCUGCUGCUUCAUUAGUGCCACCAUUCUUCAAGCUGCAGACUACAGGAUCUUACUUCUUCUUCUUCUGAGUGUCCUGGAGGGACAAGAUUCUGGGAGGUGACAGAGGUCCUCUGACAAGCCAGCACCCAAAGUGUCCCUGAGCAAGUAAAGAAACACCCCUUCUUUCAACUGCUUUUGUGAGGUCAGCAGGCACAUCUGCAGAAACUGCACCUCUUGCUUCCUGGCACAGGAGUCUGUCGAGGACACCUGGCUUCUUCCUGCUCAGCACAGAGGGAGAGGCAUGAGGGUCUGUGGGCUCAGCAGCAAGCAUCUGAAUCUCAUGGAGACGUUUCAGCAAGUGCACUGGGAAGACAUAUGCUCCAUGUUAUUUUUCUGGAGUUGGGAACAGAGCCAGAAAUCUUAACGUUCUGGAAAAGUCUUCCUUCGGCAGCACAGAUACUGGAAUUGGAGGGACACACGGAAGAUGGGGAUGACCCCUG